RNAcentral lists this unclassified non-coding RNA (227 nucleotides) under Sinapis alba (white mustard). RNAcentral describes it as "sequence contains 5.8S rRNA gene, ITS2". The stretch from base 1 to 79 matches the Rfam family "5.8S ribosomal RNA", at positions 78 to 154 of the family's 154-position model. The record is from RNAcentral. Lineage: Eukaryota; Viridiplantae; Streptophyta; Magnoliopsida; Brassicales; Brassicaceae.
AAUCCCGUGAACCAUCGAGUCUUUGAACGCAAGUUGCGCCCCAAGCCUUCUGGCCGAGGGCACGUCUGCCUGGGUGUCACAAAUCGUCGUCCCCCCAUCCUCUCGAGGAUAUGGGACGGAAGCUGGUCUCCCGUGUGUUACCGCACGCGGUUGGCCAAAAUCCGAGCUAAGGACGUUUUGGAGCGUCUCGACAUGCGGUGGUGAAUUGUAACCUCGUCAUAUUGUCG